UAGNGAAUGUCCGCAAUGGGCGAAAGCNNGACGGAGCAACGCCGNUGAGUGAAGAAGGACUUCGGUUGGUAAAGCUCUGUUCUUAGGGAAGAAUGAUUGUGUAGUAACUAUACACAGUAGAGACGGUACCUAACCAGAAAGCCACGGUCAACUACGUGCCAGCAGCCGCGGUAAUACGUAGGUGGCAAGCGUUGUCCGGAAUUAUUGGGCAUAAAGCGCGCGCAGGUGGUUUAAUAAGUCUGAUGUGAAAGCCCACGGCUCCACCGUGGAGGGUCAUUGGAAACUGUUAAACUUGAGUGCAGGAGAGAAAAGUGGAAUUCCUAGUGUAGCGGUGAAAUGCGUAGAGAUUAGGAGGAACACCAGUGGCGAAGGCGGCUUUUUGGCCCGUAACUGACACUGAGGCGCGAAAGCGUGGGGAGCAAACAGGAUUAGAUACCCUGGUAGUCCACGCCGUAAACGAUGAGUCAUAAGUGUUGGUCUCUUAAGAGAUCAUUGUUGCAGCUAACGCAUUAAUCACUCCGCCUGGGGAGCACGACCGCAAGGCG
This 545-nucleotide ribosomal RNA is filed under the name uncultured bacterium. RNAcentral's name for it is "bacterial SSU rRNA". It matches the Rfam family "Bacterial small subunit ribosomal RNA", at positions 355 to 895 of the family's 1533-position model. The record is from RNAcentral.